AAAGUCGGGGAAGACGCAGACAGCGCGGC
RNAcentral lists this small RNA (29 nucleotides) under Bombyx mori (domestic silkworm). RNAcentral describes it as "ovarian small RNA-4196". Lineage: Eukaryota; Metazoa; Arthropoda; Insecta; Lepidoptera; Bombycidae. The record is from RNAcentral.